AUUGAACGCUGGCGGCAUGCUUUACACAUGCAAGUCGAACGGCAGCGCGGGCUUCGGCCUGGCGGCGAGUGGCGAACGGGUGAGUAAUACAUCGGAACGUGCCCAGUAGUGGGGGAUAGCUCGGCGAAAGCCGGAUUAAUACCGCAUACGACCUGAGGGUGAAGGCGGGGGAUCUUCGGACCUCGCGCUUUUGGAGCGGCCGAUGGCAGAUUAGCUAGUUGGUGGGGUAAAGGCCUACCAAGGCGACGAUCUGUAGCUGGUCUGAGAGGACGACCAGCCGCACUGGGACUGAGACACGGCCCAGACUCCUACGGGAGGCAGCAGUGGGGAAUUUUGGACAAUGGGCGAAAGCCUGAUCCAGCAAUGCCGCGUGUGUGAUGAAGGCCUUCGGGUUGUAAAGCACUUUUGGCGGGAACGAAAAGGACUGUGCCAAUACCACGGUUCGAUGACGGUACCCGCAGAAUAAGCACCGGCUAACUACGUG
This 484-nucleotide ribosomal RNA is filed under the name uncultured bacterium. Its description in RNAcentral is "partial 16S ribosomal RNA". It matches the Rfam family "Bacterial small subunit ribosomal RNA", at positions 29 to 507 of the family's 1533-position model. The record is from RNAcentral.